RNAcentral lists this unclassified non-coding RNA (237 nucleotides) under Chytridiomycota sp. Its description in RNAcentral is "partial contains small subunit ribosomal RNA, internal transcribed spacer 1, and 5.8S ribosomal RNA". The stretch from base 1 to 47 matches the Rfam family "Eukaryotic small subunit ribosomal RNA", at positions 1785 to 1831 of the family's 1831-position model. Lineage: Eukaryota; Fungi; Chytridiomycota. The record is from RNAcentral.
AAAGUCGUAACAAGGUAACCGUAGGUGAACCUGCGGUUGGAUCAUUAACAAAUGAAUGCAACCUGGCCAACCGAGGCAACUCGGUGCGGCCCGAUGCGUACCCCAUUCGGGGUGGCAUUGCACCUUGUGUGAACCGUUAACAUUUUUUACCCACGUCAUGUGUUGUUACUAUACUGUCUUUAAGAAAAAACAAAAGUAAAUUAAAAACAACUUUUGGCAACGGAUCUCUUGGCUCUC